RNAcentral lists this ribosomal RNA (424 nucleotides) under uncultured bacterium. RNAcentral describes it as "bacterial SSU rRNA". It matches the Rfam family "Bacterial small subunit ribosomal RNA", at positions 355 to 796 of the family's 1533-position model. The record is from RNAcentral.
UGGGGAAUCUUGCGCAAUGGGCGAAAGCCUGACGCAGCCAUGCCGCGUGGAUGAUGAAGGUCUUAGGAUUGUAAAAUCCUUUCAGCGGGGACGAUAAUGACGGUACCCGCAGAAGAAGCCCCGGCUAACUUCGUGCCAGCAGCCGCGGUAAUACGAAGGGGGCUAGCGUUGCUCGGAUUUACUGGGCGUAAAGGGCGCGUAGGCGGACAGUUAAGUUGGGGGUGAAAGCCCGGGGCUCAACCUCGGAAUUGCCUUCAAUACUGGCUGUCUUGAGUGUGAGAGAGGUGUGUGGAACUCCGAGUGUAGAGGUGAAAUUCGUAGAUAUUCGGAAGAACACCAGUGGCGAAGGCGACACACUGGCUCACUACUGACGCUGAGGCGCGAAAGCGUGGGGAGCAAACAGGAUUAGAUACCCCCGUAGUCC